Molecule: ribosomal RNA, 468 nt
Filed under: uncultured bacterium
Lineage: Bacteria
Description: partial 16S ribosomal RNA
Rfam family: Bacterial small subunit ribosomal RNA
Source: RNAcentral
GACGAACGCUGGCGGCGUGCUUAACACAUGCAAGUCGAACGGAUAGGCCCUGCUUUUUUGUGGUUCUCGCGUGGCGAUCGUGUGUGUUACACGUGUGUAUCCUUCCCUUUACUUUGUUAUAUCUUCAUGCAACUUGUUCUAAUACCUGAUAUCUUCUCCUGCUUCUUUGUGUUCGUUGGAAAUUUUCGGCGGUUGGGUUUGGACUCGCGGCUUAUCAGCUUGUUGGUUGGGUAGUUGCUUACCAAGGCUUUGACGGGUAGCCGGCAUGAGAGGGUGAACGGCCACAAUGGGACUGAGAUAAGGAGCAGACUGCAACGGGAGGCAGCAGGGGGGAAUAUUGCACAAUGGGCGGAAGCCUGAUGCAGCAACGCCGCGAGCGGGAUGAAGGCCUUCGGGUUGUAAACCGCAGUAGCCUGUGACGAAGCGUGAGUGACGGUAAUGGGUAAAGAAGCACCGGCUAACUACGUG